AUUAAUUAAUUGUUGUUGUUGUCUAUGUUUUGAGACAACUUCACGUUUGUUGUGGUGGUGCUGGCACCUAUCGCCGCCGAUCCUCCACCGCUCCGGUCAGUCCAGUUGCGACCGUCGCGGAGUGCGCGUCCGUUGGUUGCCAUUGGUGAUCCCCCUGUUGGGAUACGUUUUCGUUUUGUUAUUGUUGUUGUUAUUUGUUAUUAUUGUUUUAACUACCCUUGACUACGAUAAGUGUCGUUCCGUGCGCUUCAUGAACAUUCCUCCAAUUGGAUUUCGAUUCUACUUUCUGUACAUGUACAAGAAGAAAACGCUGCAGAAAGAUUCACGAACCGUGGACCACGAAGCUCAGGGUUCUCAAACCGUGCGUGAUGAAUGGCUCGAAAAGUCAGUGUGUCAGAGAGGGUGAAGUGGUGAAGGGUGAAGAGUAGGCGGCGGCGGCGGCGGCGCACAAACAAAUUGCGGCGUAAAUAUCGACCGUCGCGACGGCUCGCUCAGCUGCUCCGGAUCACAGCUGAAGAAGAACAAUAACAUAGGAGCAGCGACGGUUCGUUUUUCGUGAUCGAGAACGCGCGCGUCCAAAAAAAAAA
This is a long non-coding RNA of Nicrophorus vespilloides, 587 nucleotides long. RefSeq lists it as uncharacterized. Lineage: Eukaryota; Metazoa; Arthropoda; Insecta; Coleoptera; Silphidae. The record is from RefSeq and is a predicted model, not a curated record. The transcript is spliced from 2 exons.